RNAcentral lists this ribosomal RNA (513 nucleotides) under uncultured bacterium. Its description in RNAcentral is "bacterial SSU rRNA". It matches the Rfam family "Bacterial small subunit ribosomal RNA", at positions 15 to 518 of the family's 1533-position model. The record is from RNAcentral.
GAUCAUGGCUCAGGAUGAACGCUAGCUACAGGCUUAACACAUGCAAGUCGAGGGGCAGCAUUGGGAUAGCUUGCUAUUCAGAUGGCGACCGGCGCACGGGUGAGUAACGCGUAUCCAACCUUCCUGCCAGUAGGGAACAGCCCGGCGAAAGUCGGAUUAAUGCCCUAUGUUCUUCAAUGCGGACAUCUAAGUUGAAGGAAAGAUUCAUCGCUGGCAGAUGGGGAUGCGUCCGAUUAGCUUGCCGGCGGGGUAACGGCCCACCGGGGCGACGAUCGGUAGGGGUUCUGAGAGGAAGGUCCCCCACACUGGUACUGAGACACGGACCAGACUCCUACGGGAGGCAGCAGUGAGGAAUAUUGGUCAAUGGGCGUAAGCCUGAACCAGCCAAGUAGCGUGCAGGAUGACGGCCCUACGGGUUGUAAACUGCUUUUAUGCGGGGAUAAAGUGCGGCACGUGUGCCGCUUUGCAGGUACCGCAUGAAUAAGGACCGGCUAAUUCCGUGCCAGCCGCCGC